This 76-nucleotide transfer RNA is filed under the name Planctomycetota bacterium. Its description in RNAcentral is "Planctomycetes bacterium (groundwater metagenome) tRNA-Arg". It matches the Rfam family "tRNA". From Rfam's summary of the family: Transfer RNA (tRNA) molecules are approximately 80 nucleotides in length. Their secondary structure includes four short double-helical elements and three loops (D, anti-codon, and T loops). Lineage: Bacteria; Pseudomonadati; Planctomycetota. The record is from RNAcentral.
GCACCCGUAGCUCAAUGGAUAGAGCACUGGUCUUCGGAACCAUAGGUUGUGGGUUCGAGUCCCCCCGGGUGCGCCA